This 254-nucleotide ribosomal RNA is filed under the name uncultured bacterium. Its description in RNAcentral is "partial 16S ribosomal RNA". It matches the Rfam family "Bacterial small subunit ribosomal RNA", at positions 524 to 776 of the family's 1533-position model. The record is from RNAcentral.
GACGAACCGUCCAAACGUUAUUCGGAAUCACUGGGCGUAAAGGGCGCGUAGGCGGCCACCGCAAGUCGGUUGUGAAAUCUCCGGGCUUAACCCGGAAAGGUCAAUCGAUACUGCGGGGCUAGAGUGCAGAAGGGGCAACUGGAAUUCUCGGUGUAGCGGUGAAAUGCGUAGAUAUCGAGAGGAACACCUGCGGCGAAGGCGGGUUGCUGGGCUGACACUGACGCUGAAGCGCGAAAGCUAGGGGAGCGAACGGG